Grus americana (Whooping crane) is the source of this 6654-nucleotide RNA transcript. It is a transcript of the gene named testis expressed 14, intercellular bridge forming factor, with no coding region annotated. The transcript has 28 exons. NCBI's taxonomy places the organism in Eukaryota, Metazoa, Chordata, Aves, Gruiformes, Gruidae. The record is from RefSeq and is a predicted model, not a curated record.
CUGCGACAGACUGCGACAGGCUGUGACAGGGGUUCUGUUGAGGAAAGAAGAUGGCUCAUGCUCUCCCUCUCCCGAUUCCCUGCCCAGUCCAGCUUGGAAGUAUAAAAGGUGACUCCCUGGAAGCUCAGCUGCAUGACUAUGUCAGGCAAGGAAGCUAUGUGAAAGUGAAGAAGCUUCUGAAAAAAGGUAUCUUUGUUGAUGCUGUGAAUUCCAUGGGCCAAACUUCUCUCUUCACUGCUGCUUUGCUAGGUCUCGGUAAAAUAGUGGAUGUGCUGUUGGAUUAUGGCUCAGAUGCUAAUCAUCGCUGUUAUGAUGGAAGCACCCCAGUCCACGCAGCUGCGUUCUCAGGAAAUCAGUGGAUUCUUAGCAAGUUAUUGGAUGAAGGAGGUGAUCUGAGAGUACAUGAUAAAGAUGGAAAAAAUCCACAGUACUGGGCUAUGUCAGCUGGGAAAGAAAGCAGUGCUCAGAUGCUGGAGUUUAUACAGCGUUGUACGUUCCACAUGCAGGCUGCCAUUCAAAAUUUUCCCUCUGAUCUACUCAAGAAGGUUGGUUCAUCAAAAGCGCUGGUCUGCAGCCUGUCUAGGUUUGGCGGCCUUGUUCAAGGAAAUGUUGACAGUCCCCUGAGUAGAUUUCUAAAAGGUGGAGCUAAUGCAGCCAAGAACAUUUACAGCUUUGGUUUUGGGAAGUUUUAUCUUGCAGGCAGUGGGCAUCUCGGGUACUUGGCGUCUCUCCCUAUUAUUGGGGAAAAAGAGGUGGUUCAGGCAGAUGACGAACCGACGUUUUCUUACCAUGUUGGACCAUACAUGAUCAUGACAAACUUAAUGUGGGGAGGCAGCAGAGUUACAGUGAAGGAACUCAGCUUUGAGCCCCAUCAGAACUGUUGUAAACUACGCUUAGCUGAUCUUCUCAUCGCAGAGCAAGAACAUAGUAGCAAGCUCCGUCAUCCUCAUUUGCUACAGUUGAUGUCUGUUUGUCUGUCUAGUGACUUGGAGAAAACCCGCUUAGUAUAUGAAAGGGUUAACUUUGGUUCUCUGUACAGCAUCCUUCAUGAAAGGCGUACAGAAUUCCCAGUACUGCACAUGGAGACAAUUUUGCAUGUGCUACUUCAAAUUAAUGACGCUUUGCGUUUUCUACACUCCCGUGGAUUUAUCCACCGUUCGAUUACCUCCUAUGCUAUUCAAAUUGUUUCUUCUGGUGAGGCAAAGCUGUGCAACUUGGAAUACAUGAUAGAGAGCAAAGAUGGUGGAGAACACAGUGAUCUGACACGUAUUCCUGUCCCAGUCCAGCUGUACAAAUGGUGCUCUCCUGAAGUAAUCCUUGAAAAAGUUGUCACAGUGAAAUCAGAUAUUUAUAGCUUCUGUACAGUAAUGCAGGAGGCCUUGACAGAGACCCCUCCCUGGAAAGGUGUUGAAGACUCGGUUAUUAAACAGCUCUUAAUUUCAGGAAAAUCAUUAGAAGCAGAUGUCAGACUUCCUAUGCCCUAUUACAGUAUCGUGAAGUCAGGGCUAGAACCUAAACAGAAGAACCGCUCCAUGAAACUUCAGGAUAUUCAGUAUAUACUGAAAAAUGACUUAAAGGACUUAACUAAGUCUCAAACUGGUCAUGCUGAUGAAAUGUCAAAAGCAACAAGACGCGCUGUUUUUGCCGAUGUGAACAACAUCUGUUUGGCAUCAGCUUUUAGCUACCAGAAGAGAACACAGGAAUUGCAGGGAAAAGAGAUAACCGAGGCUGACCUCUCCGCUGCCCCAAGAUACUCUAAUUUUUCUGAGGAGAAUUGUGCUUUAGUGGACCAAGAGGCAUCAACGAGUCUACAGCCAGUUGGGCAGGACAAAAAUCAUGAUGUAACUUCUGAACUCCAGAUGACCGUCAGUGUCAGUGAUGUGGAUGACAGCCUCUGUAGCUUUGAAAUCAAUGAAAUCUUUGCCAGUUAUCCAGAACUUCACGAAGACUUCCUGGAAGAAGGAGCUAGAUUAGAUCAAACUCUAAAGGAUGAAAAAAGGCAGCAAAAGGAAGGAGAUAAGGCUACCCUCAGAGACCUAUAUGCAUCCCUUGGAGUCCACUGUGAGGAAAAGCCAGUUUAUGAGGAAGGUGGCUUUUCAGAAUCAAGUGUAGCGUAUACUACAGAAGAGAAGGAGAGGAUAAGUGAGGUCUCUGACCUAUGCAUGCUGGCACAGGUGAGAGGAGAUGCUGGGAGAGGAAGGAGUAGUCUGUCCCAAAACGAGCAGCACAUAAGCAAAUGUGUCCUUAAUUUAAAGAUCGUUCAAAGCAUGUUACAGCAGGCAGCAGAUUCCCUGUGUAGAACAGAGGAGAAGCUGGACAAAUUAGAGGCCACUGAAAAACAAAAGAAGCUGCUCCAGGAGAUCAGAAUGAAUCAACUUCCUAAGCAAAUUUUUCAAGAAGGACCCUGGAAUAGACCUGAUGAUACUUCCCAGAAUACCAAUGACCCUUUUUCUGGAGUAAAUACUUUUUUAUGGAAAGCUAUAGGUCCACCAUCAAGUGACUAUAUUCCACCACCGACAACAUGUCAGGCACAAGGAGUGUUGGGUGGAGACAGUUUCCAAGCUGUUUCAAAGGCAGCAAAGGAAAUGGAGGCAAUUCAAAAUGAAAAGUGGAAAUGCUUUCAUGAGAUGAGUAAGAGUAAGAAUGAAAACAACCAUCGUGAUCUCAGCUUCAGUGUGGUGAAAAGCCUGGAUGAUCAAAUGAGCCUAGACCAUGAGCAUUUACUCCCACGUGUAUCUGUAAGACGCAAAAAAAAGUUCAACUUGCAGUGUCAGAGAGGAGGUGAUUCACAUUCUGCAGCAAGUGGAAGUGAAGAGAGGUGGUGCUAUCCGAAAUCAAGAUCUGAAAUUUACAAUACAAAAAUAAGUGAGGAGAGGACGGUGCAGUCAGAAUGGAGGACUGAAGUAACACAAAUGGCCAGAAGAGUGGCCUCAGGACAACUAGAACUCGGCUGUCCAUAUCCAGCCAGUGAGUGUACAUCUGAAAGUGAAGCAGAGAGUAUAAAGGAAGCCUUUCAACAUGUCACUGUUAGACUCCAAAAAAGUCAAGACCAACAAAGAUACAGGUGGCAGACAGGUGAUAACGUUGAGCCUUGGGAUCUGGGCAGUGAGGAUAGAUCUGAAUCUGAGGAGAGUGAUCUGGAGUCUGCAUUUGGAAAUUCUGGAGGGAGAAGUUGCCAGUCACCAUCACAAGAUGAACAAGCAGAGUCUGGAAUAGCCAUUCAUAAGAAUUCAGUCCUCCUUCAACAAGUCGAGAAUCUCUCUAGAGGGCGUUCAAGGGAAUUACAUUGUUCCCUUAAUUCAUCUCCUGAUGUGUCUGAAGAAUUCUUGACUCCUGAUUAUUUCCUUCCUCCUACUACUCAGGGACGCUCAGAACUAGAGGUAAAAAUAACAGAAAAGACAGAAAUGAAGUCUGUGUCAAGAACUCUGGACACCUCAAAUGCUGAGGGCAAAUUAGAAGACGCUUGUGAAGGAUUUUUACAGAAACAGUUACCUGAAGAUGCAGGAUCAGGUAUUCAGGUUUCAGGAGGAAAAAUACUAUUCUGCAGCACAGCAGCACAGAACUCUGGCAAUAGCACACAAGGAGUGAAUCAACUUAGCCAUAUGCCCGUAGCCAGUGUUGAAGCAGCACAAGAAGUGAUACUGUGGGAGCCACAGGAAGAAUCCAAAGAAAAAGAUGUAUCAGCGUCCGAUAUUCAGGAUUUGUCAAGUAUUCCCUAUGAGCAAGAAAACUACUACAGGGAUAUAGAUUGUAAAACACCCAGAGUGAGUCAUGCACCGGUGAGCGUCAGCACUCCGCUCAGCUCAGAAGAAAAAGAUCCAGUAGCCUUUGAGAAAUACAAACACUGCCAUGAAGUAGCUUCAGAUUCUUCCUUUUGCAGUUCUCAAGAGAUCUCUUCUGCAGUGUCCAGGACAUUCACUACAGCCUAUGAAGAGGGAAGGAGCACUGAAAUUCCCUCUGUUCCUUCAGGAAUUUGCUCAUCUGAAUUGAAUGAGCCUGAUGGGUUGCUAGUAGUUGCUUCAUCCUUGAGAAGCACCAGGAAGGCAUCGGCACUCUCACAGGCAUCUAACCACUUCAUUGAUGAGCUGCCUCCACCAGCCCAAGAGCUGCUGGAUGAAAUUGGGCUGCAAGCCUGCAAGAUCCAGAAGACGUUGGAAGGAAGAAGGGAGUAGAGGAAGGUGGAACCGGGGCCAGAGGCGGAGCACCAGAAGAAAGCCGUGCAGGGAGUUCAGAAGGUCCUCUUAAUCUGUAAAGCUACUGGAUGCCGUGCUGGGCAGUAUCGCAUUUAUUAUAUUGGUAGCACUGACUUUGUCGAGCUUGCACAGGCUACUUUGUUCGCUUUUCUUGUUCUCCACCCCCACGGCCCCCCUCAUCUGGGGUACUGUCUCUACCCUGUGCUUUUAAAGGAGAGGAAGCUGCUCUAGACUUAAACUCCAGAGACACUUGAAAAUUUUGUAAUUCUUUGGGGUGGUUGAGACUGACAGCAUUGUGGACCAUUUGCUGGAAUUGCAGAGUGUCUUUCUCAUAGAAUGCAGUUUCUUCUACUGACUCAGAAACACUGAAAGACAGCUGGUAAUACUGUACCUGUGUCCUGUCUAGUGCUCAACCUCUCUGGCUUAGGCACCUAAAUGCUUCACACUGUGAGGGCUUUGGUUACUAUCAGUAUGGUUUGGUAUGUACCUGUGAUGUGUAUGCUAAUGCCAUCAAAUCCCUUAAACAUCUGUUGCAGUCUCAUCUCCCCUGGCUUUCCUUUAAUAGAAACUACAAGUAAGAAGACACAAGAUAAAAUAAAAGCGUUUCCUCUGCUCUCUAAGUCCAAAUCUCCAUUAGGAGCUGUCAAAGCUGACUGGUAAUCUGCAGCUAGAGUAAAAGAUUGCUGUUUUCAGCAUUUCUUAAUCAAAGAUGUUUCUUGGUACAGGGAAGGGGCUGACAUAUUGCAUUAAGUUAAUGUGCAUUUAGUGCUAUGCAAAAAAUAUGAAAGAACUGGCAUUUUGUCUGGAAAGAAAAAGGCAGUAACCUUUCCUUUUCAGAGAGAACUUUUGAUUUUUUCAGUGUGUAGCACAAGAGGACUUAAAGGAAGCCGAUCUUCAGCGUGGUGGGCAUGUAACAUUUCUACAGCUUUCAGCUGUACAACACGUGUUUUGCUUUCCAGUUAGGCGCUCAAAGUUUGAAAUGUUCCAAAUCACUAGUUACUUUUGGAAAUGAUUUUUUUUUUUUAACCCUAAAAUGUUGAUUUUUAAACCUAGAGAUCUGGAGGUAACAUCACUGUGCUUGUUAUUGGCACCGCAUUAGCACAUAUGACCCUAUUUUCUGUCAGACUUCUAGAAGAACUGAGCUGGUAGGGAUCAGGCGUUGGGUUUUGAAAACAGAAUGAUUUCUGAUCAUAAAGAGGGUCCCGUGUAAUGCACCCAAUAGCAACAGCACCGAGGCUGGUUUCUGGUUACAAGUGCAACUUAAUGGCUCUAGCAAAGAGAUCCGUAGCACUUGAUUCAGCAUGCUGCUAUGUGCUGCAAAACCAGAGCUUUCUCUUUGAAGUGGUAUGUGGCUGUGUAUGUUCUUCUAGGUUUUGAGCUGAAUUUACAUGUUUUUUAGACACACGUCCUGAAGAUCAGAAAUUCCACUUAUGGGAACAGCUGCCUUCAUCUUCACCAUUCAGGAUAAUUGUUUUGGAUCAGAGCUCUCCUACGUGAUUAAAAUGGCUAGUGAAUAAGUUCUAAUACAUCACCUGCUUACUGCUAUUUGUGCAGUACACAGCCUGUGAAUCGCAACCCUUUUCGGCCAUGUAACCAGUUAUAAAGCUCAGACUUUAACUGCAGCAGCAAGUACAGAAGAAAAUCUAAUGGUUUGCUUUAUAACACAGUUUGAAGUGGUUUUACGCCAUCAUCGCGUGUAAAGGCAGUAUCAGUAAUAUCGCAGAAUUGAACCAUUUUCUGAAUAGAACAUCCUUACAAAAGUGGCUGCGUGGUGGGGUUCUGAGCAUGCGUGCUUUCAUAAGCAAAAGACUUUCUUGCUCGGUUGCAUUAUGCAGUUUUUAGUGUUAGAGACAAAAUGAUUGUAAUUCUGUGGACUGCUGUUCCUGCUCAGGCACUUGUUAAAUUUUUCCAUGCUGGAGUGUGGAGCACUGUUACAGCCCAUGUAGUGUAUGUUUUUCCUUGCUCAUUAAAUUUAACAAGGUAAUUUCUUGUUUUCUCUUUUCUUAGUGCUUUUGUGAUCUAGCAUUGAACUGAUUUGACUGAUUAAGGGGAUUAAUUGCUGUGCAAAAAGCUAAUUAGAAAAAGGCAGUGUUCUCCAGAGAUUGCAAGUGCAGCAAUACAUUCCCUGACAGCAUUAGACAAGAAUAUGAUAAAAUCUGGUUAGUAUUAAUGAAGAUACCUGUUUAAUUAAACAACACUUUUGGUAGGCCUCAUCAAAAAAAAAAAAAAAAUUGAACUUUGGAUCAGGAUUUUGAUGGUUACAGCAACUUCAUAUUUAACUUUUCUUGUGAUAAACGCUGUUCAGGUGCAUGAAGACUGUCCUUGUCCCUCUUUAACAGACCCUGGGAUUUUAGCUGCCGUCGUACAGCUGGGAGUACCACGUGUUGCUUUUUUGUUCCUGUUCAUGUAGGGAAAUUCUACCUAUCUGUAACUGUUAGUUAAUUUGGUUUAACAAUACUAA